ACAGGUGGCGAAAGUCGCUUUUCCCGCAAGGGACAUUAGUCGAGGUGCUGCAUGGCUGUCGUCAGCUCGUGUCGUGAGAUGCUGGGUUAAGUCCCGCAACGAGCGCAACCCCUGCCUUUAGUUGCCACCAGAUUAUGCUGAGCACUCUAAAGGGACUGCCGGUGAAAAACCGGAGGAAGGUGGGGAUGACGUCAAGUCCUCAUGGCCUUUAUGUCCAGGGCUACACACGUACUACAAUAGGGCGGCACAAUGAGUCGCAAACCCGCGAGGGGGAGCCAAUCUCAAAAAACCGCUCUCAGUUCGGAUUGCAGUCUGCAACUCGACUGCAUGAAGCCGGAAUCGCUAGUAAUCGCUGAGGUCAGCAAGCAGCGGUGAAUACGUUCCCGGGCCUUGUACACACCGCCCGUCACAUCACGAAAGCCAGUUGUACUAGAAGCCGGCAAUUCAACCGCAAGGAGAUAGCCGUCCAAGGUAUGACUGGUGAUUGGGGUGAAGUCGUAACAAGGUAGGCGUAGAUGA
This 519-nucleotide ribosomal RNA is filed under the name uncultured bacterium. RNAcentral's name for it is "bacterial SSU rRNA". It matches the Rfam family "Bacterial small subunit ribosomal RNA", at positions 994 to 1509 of the family's 1533-position model. The record is from RNAcentral.